RNAcentral lists this long non-coding RNA (514 nucleotides) under Setaria viridis. RNAcentral's name for it is "long non-coding RNA (SVIR_LNC001428)". The record is from RNAcentral. Lineage: Eukaryota; Viridiplantae; Streptophyta; Magnoliopsida; Poales; Poaceae.
UGCAUUGCACGAAUGGCUUUAUUUUUCUCACUUUUAGCCUAGAAAUAUUGAUAUAAAGUGACAGAAAAGUAAGUAUUAAUCAUGGUACAUUGCCCUAGCAACUAGAGGAAAACCAAACUCCUAAUACUAAUACAUGUGCUGCACUUGUCUUCCAAUACCUUACCAGCCACUCCCAUUGUUGAUCUGGUAUCCUUUGGCCACAACUAUUACGGAUAUUUUGUCUUCGUGUUAUAUUGGGAUUGAAAUAUGUCCUCUUCAAAAAAACCUUGAAAUCUUUCCAUUUUUUGCUAGCAGAUCUCAACACCCAAGGCUUGAAAGAUUUAUCAACAUUGACAAAAGCCUUUGACCAGUCUAAAUUAGCAUAAAAUCCACUCAUAAGGAUAAAAUAAAAGCAAGAUAGACUCUAUUGAUGUCCACUCAUAAAGAUAAUAAGUUUCAGCAUCAAUAUCUAACUCAUCCUUCAAUCCAUCAUCCCCUCCUAGAGUACGAGUGUCAUACAUCCCAAACCCCUCCA